GGAGAAUCUACCCUUUAGGACUGGGAUAACCCUGGGAAACUGGGGCUAAUACCGGAUAGGCAAUUUUUCCUGCAAUGGUUUUUUGUUUAAAUGUUUUUUCGCCUAAGGAUGAGUCUGCGGCCGAUUAGGUAGUUGGUUAGGUAAUGGCUUACCAAGCCGGUGAUCGGUACGGGCUGUGAGAGCAAGAGCCCGGAGAUGGAACCUGAGACAAGGUUCCAGGCCCUACGGGGUGCAGCAGGCGCGAAACCUCCGCAAUGUGAGAAAUCGCGACGGGGGGAUCCCAAGUGCCAUUCUUAACGGGAUGGCUUUUCAUUAGUGUAAAGAGCUUUUGGAAUAAGAGCUGGGCAAGACCGGUGCCAGCCGCCGCAGUAACACCGGCAGCUCUAGUGGUAACAAUUUUUAUUGGGCCUAAAGCGUCCGUAGCCGGUUUAAUAAGUUUCUGGUGAAAUCCUGUAGCUUAACUGUGGGAAUUGCUGGAGAUACUAUUAGACUUGAGACCGGGAGAGGUUAGAGGUACUCCCAGGGUAGAGGUGAAAUUCUGUAAUCCUGGGAGGACCGCCUGUUGCGAAGGCGUCUAACUGGAACGGUUCUGACGGUGAGGGACGAAAGUUAGGGGCGUGAACCGGAUUAGAUACCCGGGUAGUCCUAACUGUAAACGAUGCGGACUUGGUGUUGGGGUGGCUUUGAGCUGCUCCAGUGCCGAAGGGAAGCUGUUAAGUCCGCCGCCUGGGAAGUACGGUCGCAAGACUGAAACUUAA
This 758-nucleotide ribosomal RNA is filed under the name uncultured archaeon. RNAcentral describes it as "bacterial SSU rRNA". It matches the Rfam family "Archaeal small subunit ribosomal RNA", at positions 102 to 859 of the family's 1478-position model. The record is from RNAcentral.